Molecule: ribosomal RNA, 511 nt
Filed under: uncultured bacterium
Lineage: Bacteria
Description: bacterial SSU rRNA
Rfam family: Bacterial small subunit ribosomal RNA
Source: RNAcentral
GGCUUAGGAUGAACGCUAGCUACAGGCUUAACACAUGCAAGUCGGAGGGGCAGCAGAUACGAAAGCUUGCUUUGAUGCGUGGCGACCGGCGCACGGGUGAGUAACGCGUAUCCAACCUUCCCUAUAGUAGAGAAUAGCCCGGCGAAAGUCGGAUUAAUGCUCUAUGUUGUAUUUAGAGGACAUCUGAAGAAUACCAAAGGUUUACCGCUAUAGGAUGGGGAUGCGUCUGAUUAGGUUGUUGGCGGGGUAACGGCCCACCAAGCCCACGAUCAGUAGGGGUUCUGAGAGGAACGGUCCCCCACAUUGGAACUGAGACACGGUCCAAACUCCUACGGGAGGCAGCAGUGAGGAAUAUUGGUCAAUGGACGAAAGUCUGAACCAGCCAAGUAGCGUGCAGGAUGACGGCCCUAUGGGUUGUAAACUGCUUUUAUACAGGGAUAAAGUGAGGGACGUGUCCCUUUUUGUAGGUACUGUAUGAAUAAGGACCGGCUAAUUCCGUGCCAGCAGCCGC